RNAcentral lists this long non-coding RNA (4403 nucleotides) under Meleagris gallopavo (turkey). Its description in RNAcentral is "lncRNA (ENSMGAG00000019823.1)". Lineage: Eukaryota; Metazoa; Chordata; Aves; Galliformes; Phasianidae. The record is from RNAcentral.
AUGUCCAUAUGGGGACAUCCAUCCAUUAGGAUCCGUCGUUUCCCAUUUCCUGGUCUCUCUGGGGACGCUGAUCCACUGGGAUCCAUCGGUUUCUCCCUUGAUGUCCCUUUGGGGACAACUACCCCCUGGGACAUGUCUGUCCCCAGCUCCAGCCCACCGUGGGAAGCUGACAGGAGGGAUCCAUCCGUUCCCAUUUCCGGCCCCAUUGGGAUCCAUCCCAACACUUCUGUGCCUACUGGGCUCACUGCAACCCCAUUGGGAUCUAUCCUGACAUCUCCAUAUCCAUUUGGGAUCACCACGAUCCCAUCAGGAUCCAUCCCAACUCCUCUGCGUCCUGUCGGAUCUCCCCAGUCCCAUUGGGAUGACUCAGCCAUCCCAAAAACUCUGUGCCCGCUGGGAUCACUCCAAUCCCAUCGGGAUCCACCCCAACACUUUGGGAUCUCUCCAAUCCCACAGGGGUCCCACUGGGAUUCAUCCCAACGCCUCUAUAUCCAUUUGGGAUCACUCAGAUCCCAUUGGGAUUCAUCCCUGUACCUCCAUGUCAUUUGGGAUCACCAUGACUCCAUCGGGGUCCAUCCCAACAUCUCUGUGCCCAUUGGGAUCAUUUCAAUCCCAUUGGGAUCCAUCCCAACACCUGUGUCCUUUGGGAUCUCUCCAAUCCCAUCGGAAUCUCUCAGAUCCCAUUGGGAUCCAUCUCAACACUUCGUGUCCUUUGGGAUCUCUCCAAUCCCAUCGGAAUCUCUCAGAUCCCAUUGGGAUCCAUCCCAACACUUCAUGUCCUUUGGGAUCUCCCCAGUCCUAUCAGGAUCUCUCCAAUCCCAUCGUGAUCUAUCCCAACACUUUGGGAUCUCUCCGAUCCCAUUGGGAUCCAUCCCAACACCUCUGUGUCCUUUGGGAUCACCCCAAUCCCAUUGGGAUCCACCCCAACACCUCUGUGUCCUUUGGGAUCACCCCAGUCCCAUUGGGAUCCACCCCAACACCUCUGUGUCCUUUGGGAUCGCUCCAAUCCCAUUUUGGUGCUGCAGCUGCAAAUUCAAUCAAUUCCCUACUUCGUUUCCAUUUUUAAAUCCUUUUCCCCACUUAAUUUCCCCUUUUUACCCCAGUUCCCCACCCCAUUUCCUCACCCCGCCCCAUUUCCCCCAAGAUUUACCAAAUCUCCUCGGGCCGUCCCGAGAAAACUUACAAACUGAAGCAGAAAAAUGGGUAAUUUUGGGGUUAUUUUCACCUAUUUCUGCUGGAACACAUGAAAUUGCGAAGGGUGGUUUCGGGGCAGGUUCAGUUGAACGGUAUUGAUGGACAGCAUUGGGGUGGUUUUUUUUUAUUAUUUUUUUACUGUUUUGUGUCUCUGUGAUUUCUCAAGGCGUGGGGCCCAACUGCGGCCGCACAAAAUGGGGAGAAAACACCCAGAUUUGGGUCAGCUGCACAGGACGUUGGCACCGAACGAGGACUCGUGAGUCCACGCGGAGCUGCAGCCGCUCACGCUGGGUUUUCCCAGUUCCCCAUUUCUGUACCCAAAAUGGGAAGAAAAAAAUGGGUCCUUUUUCAGUUUUUUGUUUUUUUUUUUUUAAGGUAAAAAAAUAUAUAUAGAUUUUUGUUCCUAGUUCUGAUGUGAUGGUUUAUUUCAGAGCAGCCUCGGAAUUGGGGGCCCAAGGUGGGAUGGAAAGUGUUUUCCACCUGACAACGUUCUUCUGCAAAGGGUUCUCCACCUAAAAAUGCCAUUUCCCACCCAAAAAACCCCAUUUUCUACUAAAAUACAGCAGUCUUUGGCUUGAGAAGGGUCAUCUUCAAUGUGAAAGUGGACUCUACAUAAAAAUUGAGUUUUCUACCUAAAAGUGGCGAUCUUCUGCUGCUUACAAAUGCCAGUUCUCUACCCAAAAUCAAUCUUUUUCCACCCAAAAUGACCUAAAAAAGCUUUUUCCCGACUCAAUUAUGGCCUUUUCCAGCUAAAAAUGGUCCCAUCUUACGUUUUCUGACACAAAGAGCUUUUCCUACCUUAAAAACUUGUCGUUUUCUACCUGAAAAGAGUAAUGUUUCUAACUGAAAAGUGGAAACUUGAGUUUUCCGACCCAAAAAUGGCCUUUUCCGUGUAAAAAACGGACUUUUGCACCUAAAAACUCUCGAGUCCACUUAGUUUUCUGUCCACUCCAAAAACGGUCCUUUCUACCUAAAAACUGAUCCUUUCCUUCCUUCCUAAAAAAUUGAGUUUUUCUACCUAGAACGACUCAUUUAACUAAAAAUCCACGUUUUCUAUCUAAAAGUAGUAUUUUCCCACCUCAAAGUGGCUUUUCUGACUAAAAAACGGUGUUUUUUUCCCCCUCCAAGUCACCUUUUUCUACCCAAAACCUUUUGCCGACCCCAAAACAGGAUUUCUCCACCCAAAAAUGGGACUUCGGGACCCAAACGCGGCGUUUCCUUUUUGCGUUCCACGACGAAGCCCUACAAAUUGGGUCAAAAAACCACCGAAUCCUUCAGUUUGGACGCAGCCCCCUUCCCAUGGGUGCGGUGCUCCAAUGACGACGCAGCGACGGCACGCGUUGUAAACAACACUUUCUGUAAUAAAUAAUCCAAAAUCGGGGCUAAACGGCCCCGAAAUAAAUAGUGUUCAAUAUUAAAUACCCUACAAUUAAAUAAUCCCUUCAAUAAAUACAACCAACCAAUAAAUAUCGGAGCGACCCACAAAGAACUGGGGCUCUGAGGGUGAGGUAGAGGCACCCACGGGUGCUCGGUGCCACCGCAGCUUCGUUACCGCAGCGUCGGUCCCCCAAAGCAUCCCCAAAUCCAUUGGGUGUCACCUCCAGGCGGAGGUGACAGUCGUACGGUGUCACCCGGACAACAGGGUGACCGUCUGGGUUGUCAGUGCGCAGUGAUGUUGUAGGCCCGCGGGGUCGGCGACGGCAACAACCGUGGGCAGGAGGUGCCCACGGGUGUCACCUGUCCCCCAGUGGGUGGGCACGUUGUCACCGGCGGUGUCACAGUCGUCCCAAGUCGCGCUGUCACCACGACCAUCUCCGGUGUCACCGCUCCUUCAGGUUGCGACGUCCCCACGACCGUCUCCUCGGGUUGUGGUGGUUGUGGUGACAAGUGAGGUGGUAACGACGACACGUUCAGCGUCACCGCGACCGCCCUGGCUGUCACCACCACCUCUCCUGGUUGCGUUGGCUUCCCAACCACCUUGGGUGUCAUGGCCACCUCUCCCGGUUGUAUCGUCACCAUGACCACUGUGGGUGUCACCACCACCUCCCCGGGUUGUGUUGUCACCGCUUUGGGUGUCACGGCCACCAUCUCGGGUGUCACCACCACCUCCCUGGGUUGUGUUGUCUUCCCAACCACCACAGGUGUCACGGCCACCUCUCCUGGUUGUGUUGUCACCGCUUUGGGUGUCACGGCCACCAUCUUGGGUGUCACGGCCACCUCUCCCGCCUGUGUUGUCACCUCAACCUCCCCAGGUUGCGUUGUCACCGUCUCCGCCGGCGCGCUGUAAACCUGAACGCUGACCACUGCCAACAACACCAGGAGGAGCCGCGUGGCCAGGCUGACUUCUUCCGUUGGGGGCGGCCGUCGCACCUGGAGGGGGGGCAACGAAGGGUUAACACACAGCUUUUCGGGAGGUGAAAAGCCUUAAAAUGGGGGACAAACGGCGUUACCAGGGGGAAUUCCCCCCAUUUUCGGCGACGUUCUUGGGGUUCGUGUAGAGGGGACCCAGCUGAGAGCAAAGCCAACCCGAGCCUAAUUAGCUGCUGGGGUUAAUGGGUUAAUAACCCCGCUCCUGCAGGGGCAACGCUGUCUGAAUUCGGGGUUAAAAACUCCCGAAACGAAGGAAAACGUAAUCCUUGAGGGGGCGAAUGUAAUUGUCUGGUGGGAAACCCCCCGCUUUUGGGUUGCUUCUGUGAGGUUUAAUGGGUUAAUAACAUCCUGAGGGGAAUGAUCGCCUUCAUUUUGGGUUAAAAAACCCCAAAAUUAGGGUAAUUAUCAUCCUUGAGUGACAAAAUGUAGUUUUAAGGGGAAAUUUCCCCAUUUCGGGUUCUAGUUUCACAGGUUCUAUGGGAUCUCUGUGGGGUUCUAUGAAAUGCCAGUUGUUUUCCCCCUAAAUACUGCUUCAAUUUGGGGUUAAAAGCCCUAAAAUCAGGGAAAAUGUAAUUCUAGGGGGAAAAGCAGCUCCAGUUUUAGUUACGAAAACCCUAAAACGGGAGAAAAUAUUACUUGAAGGUGGUAGUGGGGGGAACACUGCCCCAGUUUUGGGUUAAAAAGCAUAAAUGAUGAGAAAACAGAAUACAGACGGAGAUAUCCUGCUCUAGUUUGGAGGUAAAACGUCCUAAAAAGAGGAAAAAUGUUGUUCUAAAGGGAAAAUACCACCCCAGAUUUGGGUUAAAACACCUAAAAAAAGGAAAAAUGUGACUAGGUAG